Engraulis encrasicolus (European anchovy) is the source of this 721-nucleotide long non-coding RNA. RefSeq lists it as uncharacterized. Lineage: Eukaryota; Metazoa; Chordata; Actinopteri; Clupeiformes; Engraulidae. The record is from RefSeq and is a predicted model, not a curated record. The transcript has 3 exons.
GAGCGCAGAUCAGAAAUGGCUGUCGAAUAGCAACUGAACACUUAGUAACAUCGUUAUACACCACAUCACAUCCUGAGGUUUUACAUUGUUUUAACAAACCAACAUAUCAUGCAAGGAAAUGGGAAAACGGGAGAAAGUGGUAGUUGGCUAUACAUACGCCACAUGCAUGCCCUCGUCCUCCCUCCUCUCCUCGGCCCUCCUCCUAUCUCUCCUCCCUCCCUCCCCUCCCGCUCUGUGACGAAGAGAAUGCCCGUGUUGUACUGACAGAAACGUUACGGGCUUAGCAGGCAUGGAGGCCCGAUUAAUGACAGAGGCCCAUUCCGACACGUCCAAGCUCGACUAACACAGUCCCGGAGAAGGGUUCCGGCGACAUUUUUGGAUACGACGAAUAAGAACCGCUGUAAAGGAAAAGAAGGAGUUGGAGAAGAAAUACUGGGAGAGAUCCAUUUCGGGUCUCUGUUGAUUCAACGCAGCCGCCAUUUUGUUGACACACUUGCAACAAAAAUACCGUGGCCACCAUGUUGAUACACACGAAGGGAGGAUUUUGAUCCAAAUAAUGUGAGCUCCGCUCCUGGACCGCUAUCAAGACUGAAGGUGAGAGGGCUGCACAGCCAGGAAGGCAGCGACUGCACCGGCCGUCUAAGAAGAGGACUGCACUUUCAAGAACCCUGUCCUCUCCGCACCCCCCCUCCCCCUCCCCUUUACUUUCCCCCUCACUCCA